AACGAACGCUGGCGGCAGGCUUAACACAUGCGAGUUGAACGCGUGUAGCAAUACACGAGUAGCGCACGGGUGCGUAACGCGUGGGAACCUUCCUCGUAGUUCGGAAUAACUCAGGGAAACUUGAGCUAAUACCGAAUGCCUCCUCCGGGAGAAAGACUUAUCGCUACGAGAUGGGCCCGCGUCAGAUUAGGUAGUUGGUAGGGUAACGGCCUACCAAGCCGACGAUCUGUAGCUGGUCUGAGAGGAUGAUCAGCCACACUGGGACUGAGACACGGCCCAGACUCCUACGGGAGGCAGCAGUGGGGAAUAUUGGACAAUGGGGGCAACCCUGAUCCAGCCAUGCCGCGUGAGUGAAGAAGGCCUUCGGGUUGUAAAGCUCUUUCGACGGGGACGAUGAUGACGGUACCCGUAUAAGAAGCCCCGGCUAACUUCGUGCCAGCCGCCGCGGUAA
RNAcentral lists this ribosomal RNA (451 nucleotides) under uncultured bacterium. Its description in RNAcentral is "partial 16S ribosomal RNA". It matches the Rfam family "Bacterial small subunit ribosomal RNA", at positions 29 to 523 of the family's 1533-position model. The record is from RNAcentral.